GACGAACGCUGGCGGCGUGCUUAACACAUGCAAGUCGAACGGAAAGGCCCAGCUUUUGCGGGGUGCCCGAGUCGCGAACGGGUGAGUAACACGUGAGUAACCCGCCCUUGACGUUGGGAUAACUUCAGACAACUGGGGCUAAUACCGGCUAGGAGCUCCUGCUGCAUGGUGGGGGUUGGACAGUUUCGGCGGAUGUGGAUGGACUUGCGGCUUAUGAGCUUGUUGGUGGGGUAGUGGCCAACCAAGGCAUUGAUUGAUAGCCGGCCUGAGAGGGUGAACGGCGACAUUGCGACUGAGAUACGGAGCAGACUCGAACAUGGGGCAGCAGUGGAGAAUAUUACCCAGUGGGCGGGAGCCUGAGACGACAGUGCUGCGUGCGGGAAGAAGGUCUUCGUGUUAGAAACCGCUUUCGCCUGUUACGUAGCGUGAGUGACGUUACUGGCUGAAGAAGCACCGGCUAACUACGUG
This 468-nucleotide ribosomal RNA is filed under the name uncultured bacterium. Its description in RNAcentral is "partial 16S ribosomal RNA". It matches the Rfam family "Bacterial small subunit ribosomal RNA", at positions 28 to 507 of the family's 1533-position model. The record is from RNAcentral.